GUGCCAGCCGCGCGGUAAUACGGAGGGUGCAAGCGUUGUCCGGAAUCACUGGGCGUAAAGGGUGCGCAGGCGGGGCAGCAAGUCGGAGGUGAAACCCCAUGGCUCAACCAUGGAGGUGCAUUCGAAACUGUUGCUCUUGAGUCCCGGAGAGGCUGUCGGAAUUCGGGGUGUAGCGGUGAAAUGCGUAGAUAUCACGAGGAACACCAGAGGCGAAAGCGGGCAGCUGGACGGGUACUGACGCUCAGGCACGAAAGCGUGGGGAGCAAACAGGAUUAGAAACCCCUGUAGUCC
Molecule: ribosomal RNA, 291 nt
Filed under: uncultured bacterium
Lineage: Bacteria
Description: partial 16S ribosomal RNA
Rfam family: Bacterial small subunit ribosomal RNA
Source: RNAcentral